GAUUUUAAUGAUGAUUUUGUAUUACCGCCCCAGUCUGAUUAACCGGUGACUGAUUGGUUUCUUUCUGAAUAAAG
Anthonomus grandis grandis is the source of this 74-nucleotide small nucleolar RNA. Lineage: Eukaryota; Metazoa; Arthropoda; Insecta; Coleoptera; Curculionidae. The record is from RefSeq and is a predicted model, not a curated record.